UACGGAGGGAGCUAGCGUUGUUCGGAAUUACUGGGCGUAAAGCGCACGUAGGCGGCUUUGUAAGUCAGAGGUGAAAGCCUGGAGCUCAACUCCAGAACUGCCUUUGAGACUGCAUCGCUUGAAUCCAGGAGAGGUGAGUGGAAUUCCGAGUGUAGAGGUGAAAUUCGUAGAUAUUCGGAAGAACACCAGUGGCGAAGGCGGCGACCUGGACAAGUACUGACACUCAACUACGAAAGCGUGGGGAGCAAACAGG
RNAcentral lists this ribosomal RNA (253 nucleotides) under uncultured prokaryote. RNAcentral's name for it is "partial 16S ribosomal RNA". It matches the Rfam family "Bacterial small subunit ribosomal RNA", at positions 524 to 776 of the family's 1533-position model. The record is from RNAcentral.